Molecule: ribosomal RNA, 466 nt
Filed under: uncultured bacterium
Lineage: Bacteria
Description: bacterial SSU rRNA
Rfam family: Bacterial small subunit ribosomal RNA
Source: RNAcentral
CCUACGGGGGGCAGCAGUGAGGAAUAUUGCGCAAUGGGGGAAACCCUGACGCAGCGACGCCGCGUGGAUGAUGAAGGCCCUUGGGUCGUAAAAUCCUGUCAGGUGGAAAGAAUGGUAUAUAUGCUAAUAUCGUAUAUAUUUGACGGUACCACCAAAGGAAGCACCGGCUAACUCCGUGCCAGCAGCCGCGGUAAUACGGAGGGUGCAAGCGUUGUUCGGAAUUACUGGGCGUAAAGCGCGCGUAGGCGGUGUGUCAAGUCAGAUGUGAAAGCCCUCGGCUCAACCGGGGACGUGCAUUUGAAACUGGCAGACUUGAGUAUUGGAGGGGGUGGUGGAAUUCCCGGUGUAGAGGUGAAAUUCGUAGAUAUCGGGAGGAAUACCGGUGGCGAAGGCGACCACCUGGCCAAAUACUGACGCUGAGGUGCGAAAGCGUGGGGAGCAAACAGGAUUAGAUACCCCAGUANUC